GUGAAGUGGUGGUGUGAGUGUGUUUGUGUGAGUGUGUUUGUGUGAGUGUGUUUGUGUGAGUGUGUUCGUGUGAGUGUAAAAGUAUGAAAGCGUGUCACUAAUGUAGGCGCCGCCAGUAUAAAUAAGGCUGCCCGGCGGUCCGGUGCAGAUGGUAUAAAACCUUGUAUGCUGGCCUAUAUAAAAAUGAACAAUUUUCGGCAAUGUUAUUUAACAUUGCAAAGCCAGUCGAAUAAAUACAGCUGCCCGUCGAAGCUGAGCUUCAGUUGAAGCUGCGCGGCGGAAUAGUGCGGUUGAAGUGGUAGUGUGGAUGUGGUUGUUGAGUGUGUAAAAAUAUGAAAGCGUGUCAUUAAUCUACGCGCCAGCAGUAUAAAUAAGGCUGCCCACUAAAGCUUGGUUUCAGUUGAAGCUGCGCAGCGGUCCAUUGCAGAUGGUAUAAACGUUGCCAGUCGUAUAAAUACAGCUGCCCGUCGAAGCUAAGCCUCAGUUGAAGCUGCGCGGCGGACCGGUACAGUUGAAGUGGUAGUGUGAAUGUGGUUGUGUGGUUGUAUAAAAAUAUAAAAAGCAUGUCAUGCAAGCAAGAACUUAAGUAGCUAGCAGUAUAAAUAAGGCUGCCCGCUAAAGCUAAGUUUCAGUUGCUGUUGCGAGACGCAGUACAGAUGGUGUGAAUGUAAUUGUUGUAUAACAAUUUAAGGAGCAUAAUAUGAAUGUUUGCCCGCAAAGACAAUUGACCCUGCGCAAUAUGAAUGUAAUAUAUGUACACACAUACGUCAGAUGAGGAGCAAGCAGUAUAAAUUGGGAUUACAACAGAGAUGCGGACUCAGUUGGAGUUGGAGAGCUGUUCAAAAACGUUUGCCUGCUGGCGUUGGCGUUGCUUACACAUACCACUCCUUGACAUCCUUGGAGUCGCGCUUCUUGGCCUUCGGCUGUACCAGGCCAGCCAUCUGG
Molecule: small RNA, 945 nt
Filed under: Drosophila virilis
Lineage: Eukaryota; Metazoa; Arthropoda; Insecta; Diptera; Drosophilidae
Description: GJ26887
Source: RNAcentral